AUGGAUUUGGUUUACCUAUACGCCUUUUAUAGCAGUUGUGUCAGACCGUGUGUGAAGCAAGCCAAAGCUAAUACAAGAAAGGUUCAAAGGAGUUGGAGCUACAGCACACGGGAUAUUUAUAUCAAGAUACCUGACAAUAUGUGGCAUUCUUAUUUCAGCUUUGGCAGGAAUAUUAAGGAUGCAGAAGCCAUGAGAGACAAACCUCUAAGAUGGUUCUUUUGCUUCAAACCUGGAUUAUGACCUUCAUCUCAUUACUGAUUUGGAUCCAUAAGCAGCAGAAAGGCAGGACUUUCCUUCUGGACUUGACGUUGACUCUGGCUCUUGAUGCUGAUCCAGCUACUUACCACAUCAGAUCUUGAAAUUUAAUCCUGAUACUUACACAGCUGAGGGUCAAAGGGAUAUUCAAGACUUAUCCAAGUUCAACCAACACAAAAAGGCAUUUUGGCAACUGCUCCUGUAGUAGCGCUCCAUGGAUGUCCAGUUUGAUGUUUCAAUGUCCUUAUCAGAGCAAGCAUACAGAAGUCAAAUUUCCGUCUUUAUUUUUUAUUUGUAACUUGAUCUGAUGAAUGACUCACAGCAUUGCACUCAACCAGAAAGUUUCUAUUUUCACAGCUUUGGAAAAAGUGUAAAGCAAAUCUUUUUCCGUUUUUUUUUAAUUUGGAGAAGUUAAAAUAAAUCGGCAAGAAAACAAAUUAAUAAUACCA
Molecule: long non-coding RNA, 704 nt
Filed under: Oryctolagus cuniculus (rabbit)
Lineage: Eukaryota; Metazoa; Chordata; Mammalia; Lagomorpha; Leporidae
Description: lncRNA (ENSOCUG00000039246.1)
Source: RNAcentral